CCUANGGGGGCAGCAGUCGAGAAUCUUCGGCAAUGGACGCAAGUCUGACCGAGCGACGCCGCGUGGAUGAAGAAGGCCUUCGGGUUGUAAAAUCCUUUCGGCCACUAGGAAUAAGGUCGGGUUAAUACCCCGGCUGAUGACCCUGUGGCGGAAGAAGCUCCGGCUAAACACGUGCCAGCAGCCGCGGUAAUACGUGUGGAGCGAGCGUUGUUCGGAAUUAUUGGGCAUAAAGGGCGCGUAGGUGGAGUGUCGUGUCCGUGGUGAAAUCCCCCGGCUUAACCGGGGAAUUGCCGCGGAAACUGGCAUUCUAGAGUGAAACAGGGGUGAGUGGAACUCUGGGUGUAGCGGUGAAAUGCGUAGAUAUCCAGGGGAACGCCGGUGGCGAAAGCGGCUCACUGGGUUUUAACUGACACUGAGGCGCGAAAGCGUGGGGAGCAAACAGGAUUAGAUACCCGGNUANUC
This 462-nucleotide ribosomal RNA is filed under the name uncultured bacterium. Its description in RNAcentral is "bacterial SSU rRNA". It matches the Rfam family "Bacterial small subunit ribosomal RNA", at positions 338 to 795 of the family's 1533-position model. The record is from RNAcentral.